GAAGCAGCAGACAGUAGGGUUGCAGAAACUACCUACGCAGCAGCAAUCAGGCUCACUGGACUUACUUUUCAGAUCAGUUUAUGCCUUUGCAUCUUGCUGUUCCAGUUUCAAGAAGUUAAGGAAGAUAACUGGAGAUGUGAUAACGAUACCAGACUGAGAAGAAACUGACCCUCAUUAGAAAGAUGAUGGAGACCACAUUUCCCCCUAACCG
Molecule: long non-coding RNA, 211 nt
Organism: Perca fluviatilis (European perch)
Lineage: Eukaryota; Metazoa; Chordata; Actinopteri; Perciformes; Percidae
Exons: 3
Source: RefSeq, a predicted model, not a curated record